Molecule: microRNA, 23 nt
Filed under: Microcaecilia unicolor
Lineage: Eukaryota; Metazoa; Chordata; Amphibia; Gymnophiona; Siphonopidae
Description: Mun-Mir-459_5p (mature (guide))
Source: RNAcentral
UCAGUAACCAGAUAUCAUCCCUG